Molecule: ribosomal RNA, 253 nt
Filed under: uncultured bacterium
Lineage: Bacteria
Description: partial 16S ribosomal RNA
Rfam family: Bacterial small subunit ribosomal RNA
Source: RNAcentral
UACAGAGGUGGCAAGCGUUGUUCGGAAUUACUGGGCGUAAAGGGCGCGUAGGUGGCCUUCUUAGUCAGACGUGAAAUCCCCAGGCUUAACCUGGGAACUGCGUCUGAUACUGGAAGGCUUGAGUUCGGGAGAGGAAUGUGGAAUUCCAGGUGUAGCGGUGAAAUGCGUAGAUAUCUGGAGGAACACCGGUGGCGAAGGCGGCAUUCUGGACCGAAACUGACGCUGAGGCGCGAAAGCGUGGGGAGCGAACAGG